AGCAGCCGCGGUAAUUCCAGCUCCAAUAGCGUAUAUUAAAGUUGUUGCAGUUAAAAAGCUCGUAGUUGAAUUUCGGGAUCAGUAGGUUGGUCAUGCCUUCGGUAUGUACUGGUCUCACUGAUUCCUCCCUCUUGAAGAACCGUAAUGUCAUUAAUUUGAUGUUGCGGGGAAUCAGGACUGUUACUUUGAAAAAUUAGAGUGUUUAAAGCAGGCUCACGCUUGAAUACAUUAGCAUGGAAUAAUGAAAUAGGACGUUCGAUCCUAUUUUGUUGGUUUCUAGGAUUGACGUAAUGAUUAAUAGGGAUAGUUGGGGGCAUUAGUAUUCAAUUGUCAGAGGUGAAAUUCUUGGAUUUAUUGAAGACUAACUACUGCGAAAGCAUUUGCCAAGGAUGUUUUCAUUAAUCAAGAACGAAAGUUAGGGGAUCGAAGACGAUCAGAUACCGUCGUAGU
RNAcentral lists this ribosomal RNA (450 nucleotides) under uncultured Glomus. RNAcentral's name for it is "SSU rRNA". It matches the Rfam family "Eukaryotic small subunit ribosomal RNA", at positions 569 to 1024 of the family's 1831-position model. Lineage: Eukaryota; Fungi; Glomeromycota; Glomeromycetes; Glomerales; Glomeraceae. The record is from RNAcentral.